UACGGAGGGUGCGAGCGUUGUCCGGAAUCACUGGGCGUAAAGUGUGCGCAGGCGGCAGAGCAAGUCGAGUGUGAAAGCCCCGGGCUUAACUUGGGAAUUGCGCUCGAAACUACUUUGCUGGAGUGUGGCAGAGGAAGGUGGAAUUCCACGUGUAGCGGUGAAAUGCGUAGAGAUGUGGAGGAACACCAAUGGCGAAGGCAGCCUUCUGGGCCAACACUGACGCUCAUGCACGAAAGCGUGGGGAGCAAACAGG
Molecule: ribosomal RNA, 253 nt
Filed under: uncultured bacterium
Lineage: Bacteria
Description: partial 16S ribosomal RNA
Rfam family: Bacterial small subunit ribosomal RNA
Source: RNAcentral